RNAcentral lists this ribosomal RNA (472 nucleotides) under uncultured bacterium. RNAcentral describes it as "partial 16S ribosomal RNA". It matches the Rfam family "Bacterial small subunit ribosomal RNA", at positions 28 to 507 of the family's 1533-position model. The record is from RNAcentral.
GACGAACGCUGGCGGCGUGCUUAACACAUGCAAGUCGAACGCUGAAGCUUGGUGCUUGCCCUGGGUGGAUGAGUGGCGAACGGGUGAGUAAUACGUGAGUAACCUGCCCUUGACUCUGGGAUAAGCCUGGGAAACUGGGUCUAAUACUGGAUACGACAUGUCACCGCAUGGUGGUGUGUGGAAAGGGUUUUACUGGUUUUGGAUGGGCUCACGGCCUAUCAGCCUGUUGGUGGGGUAAUGGCUCACCAAGGCGACGACGGGUAGCCGGCCUGAGAGAGUGACCGGCCACACUGGGACUGAGACACGGCCCAGACUCCUACGGGAGGCAGCAGUGGGGAAUAUUGCACAAUGGGCGGAAGCCUGAUGCAGCGACGCCGCGUGAGGGAUGACGGCCUUCGGGUUGUAAACCUCUUUCAGCACGGAAGAAGCGAAAGUGACGGUACGUGCAGAAGAAGCGCCGGCUAACUACGUG